CCUACGGGUGGCAGCAGUGGGGAAUAUUGCACAAUGGGGGGAACCCUGAUGCAGCGACGCCGCGUGAGUGAAGAAGGCUUUCGGGUUGUAAACUUCUUUUCUCAGGGACGAAGCAAGUGACGGUACCUGAGGAAUAAGCCACGGCUAACUACGUGCCAGCAGCUGCGGUAAUACGUAGGUGGCAAGCGUUAUCCGGAUUUACUGGGUGUAAAGGGCGUGUAGGCGGGACUGCAAGUCAGAUGUGAAAACCACGGGCUCAACCUGUGGCCUGCAUUUGAAACUGUAGUUCUUGAGUACUGGGGAGGCAGACGGAAUGCCUAGUGUAGCGGUGAAAUGCGUAGAUAUUAGGAGGAACAUCAGGGGCGAAGGCGACUUACUGGACUGUAACUGACACUGAGGCACGAAAGCGUGGGGAGCAAACAGGAUUAGAUACCCUGGUAGUC
This 443-nucleotide ribosomal RNA is filed under the name uncultured bacterium. Its description in RNAcentral is "partial 16S ribosomal RNA". It matches the Rfam family "Bacterial small subunit ribosomal RNA", at positions 338 to 795 of the family's 1533-position model. The record is from RNAcentral.